Suricata suricatta (meerkat) is the source of this 490-nucleotide long non-coding RNA. RefSeq lists it as uncharacterized. Lineage: Eukaryota; Metazoa; Chordata; Mammalia; Carnivora; Herpestidae. The transcript is spliced from 3 exons. The record is from RefSeq and is a predicted model, not a curated record.
AUAAUAGAAAACUCUACUCUGGCUUCCAUCUGAAUGAUCACAAGGCAGAAUUAGUGAUCCAGUAAAUGCCUUCAUGAAGAUACCAUCCCUUUCAUUACUUGUACUGAAUGAUCCUCUUAGACAAACUAGAAAGCGUUUCAGCACCUGGGACAGUUCCUUGUCUUCUUUAGCUGCUCUGGGUUGAGAAUUUGAGAUUGGAACUCUGAAUUUCUUGAGUUUCACCAUAUGAAAGCAUCAGAAAACUCAUAAAGUAUUGCUCCACCCAUUCGAAAAGGGAUGAAACUGGGUUGCUAAAGAGGAAUUCAGCAGAACCGUUCAGCUCCCUCUGGGAAGAAAUCAGCAGGACAUGCACAGUCUUUGAACAAGAGCUUCAUGGCUUUUCCAGGAUCAGUUUUGAGGGAAUAUAUUUCAGUACCCUGGACAGAAGCAUCUUCUAGUAUGUUCCUGAUGAGGAAAAACUCCAAAUACAUGAUUGUAAUUACAGAACCAA